This is a long non-coding RNA of Austrofundulus limnaeus, 342 nucleotides long. RefSeq lists it as uncharacterized. The record is from RefSeq and is a predicted model, not a curated record. The transcript is spliced from 3 exons. NCBI's taxonomy places the organism in Eukaryota, Metazoa, Chordata, Actinopteri, Cyprinodontiformes, Rivulidae.
UGUCAAAGUGCAGUUCAUUUGGGAAGGCCGAAGCAAAUAUCUGUCAGGCACAAAUCAAUAUUCUCACGAUCCAAAGUAUCCUCAGGAAACUGGAUCAGUUUUAUGUACAGAUUUUCUCAGGGUCUAAGACUAAGGCAAAUUGAUAUGAUGGAUGACUCCAUUGCAGGCAGUUCAGCAACACUCAGCAAAAUGGCCAAAAAAAAUAAGAGGUGUUUGUUUGACAGRGGUGAGAAAGAUGAGAAGACAUACGGGCCAACUGAUCGGAGGACGAAGGGAGUUUGUAGUAAUUGAUGAAAGCCAUUUUCGUCACAAAAUAAAGUAUGGAAGAGGAAGAAUAGCAGG